This 1746-nucleotide ribosomal RNA is filed under the name Hydra sinensis. RNAcentral describes it as "16S ribosomal RNA". The stretch from base 222 to 1650 matches the Rfam family "Bacterial large subunit ribosomal RNA". The record is from RNAcentral. Lineage: Eukaryota; Metazoa; Cnidaria; Hydrozoa; Anthoathecata; Hydridae.
UUAAAUAAUUAAAUUCUUAAAUCAAAAAAAUAGAAUAAUUAAUAAGAUUAAAAAUUAAAAAUUUAUUCUUAUCUUAUCAUAAAUGAUUUAUCUUAAAAUGAAUUGAAACAUCUUAGUAAUUUAAUUAAAAAAUAAUUGAAAGUAAAGGCGAUUGAAAUCCAAUUAAACCUUUUUUUUUGAUUUUACAAAAAAUUUUUUAAUAAUUAUAUCUAUAGAAUAAGUACUGUGAAGGAAAUUAAUUAAUGAUUUAAAUUUAAAAAUGAGAUUCAUAUACCUUUUGUAUAAUGGGCUUAUAAAUAUAUGAUUAGCAAGCUAUAAGGCUAUAAAACUAACUAAGUUAAUCAUUCCCGAAACUUAGCGAUCUAAUUGUGAAUAAUUUUAUGAAUCAACUAAUAAAUGAUAAAAAUUUUUAGAAAAUUUGCAAUUAGCAGUGAAAAACUAAUCGAGCUAAGAUAUAGCUGGUUUUUCAUGAAAUUUAUAUAAGUAAAAAAUUUUUUUUAAAAAGACAGUUAUUUAGUGCAAAGAUUAAAUAACAAAUAAAAAACAAUUUUAUCCAACAUAAAUGAACUUUUUAAAUUUUUCAAAAAAAAAUUUAUGAUUAAAACAAAAAGUAAAUAAGCUUAGAAUCAGCUAUAUUUUAAAAAGUACGUAAAAUUUUACUUUAAAAAAAUUAUAAUUUAAUAAUAAAGUCAAUUAUUAUCAUUUUUGUGGAAAAUAGUAAUGAAAUUUUCUUUUAUCUAUAACGAAAGUUUUAAAGAAGUAAUAAUAUAAGCAUUAGUAAAAUUAAAUUUAUCCUUUUGUUUUCUUAAUUUAAUAAAUGAUUAAGGUUAUUCAAUUUCUCAAUUAACAAGGAAUUUUUUAAAAAAAUAUACAAGAAAAUUUUAAAAAAAAAAUUGUAAGAUCUAAAUCAAGUUAGGAUAAAUAAUAAAAUAAAUUUUUUUUAAGGAACUCGGCAAAAUAAAAUAUCGACUGUUUAUCAAAAACAUAGCUUUUUAAAAUAUAAAAAGUGAAGCCUGCCCAAUGGUAUAAAAAUAAUUAUAAUAUAAUUUAAAUAAUAUUAAAUGGAUGCGGUAACUCUGACUGUAAUAAAGUAGCAUAAUUAAUUGUCACUUAAUUGGUGGAGAGAAUGAAUGGUUAUACGAAUUUUUCACUGUCUUCGAAAGAAAUUUUUUAAAAUUGAAAUAAUAGUAAAGAUGCUAUUUAAAAUUGUAAGACGAAGAGACCCUAUAGAGCUUUACUAUAAACUUUUUGAAUUAAAAAUAAUAUAAACUUAUUUAUUUAAAAAAGUUUGGUAGUUUAGUUGGGGCGACUGUUUUUUAAAUAAAACAAAAACAUGCAAAGUAAUAAAUUUAUUUAUUGUAUAAUUAAAAUAUUUAACAAUUAUUAUAGUAGGCUAUAGUGACCCGUUAACUUAAUAAAAUUUAGUUAACGAUUAAUUGAUAAAAGUUACCUUAGGGAUAACAGGAUAAUUUUGUUUUAGAGUUCUUAUCAAAUACAAAGUUUGUCACCUCUAUGUUGAAUUAAGAUAUCCUAAUAAUGCAGUAGUUAUUAAAGGUAGGUCUGUUCGACCUUUAAAAUCUUACAUGAUUUGAGUUCAUUCCGUCGUGAGACAGGAAGGUUUCUAUCUACAAUUAUGAAAAUCAUAUUAAACUUUUAGUACGAAAGGAAUAAAGUUUUUUUAGUUAAUUAGAUAAACUAUUAUAAAAAUUUUGAAAGAAUCUAAAAAUUUAAAUAUGAUUAUUUAAA